GGGCGGUUAGCUCAGAGGUAGAGCGGCUCGUUUACACCGAGUUGGCCGGCGGUUCGAUCCCGUCACCGCCCA
This 72-nucleotide transfer RNA is filed under the name Acetobacteraceae bacterium. RNAcentral's name for it is "tRNA-Val". It matches the Rfam family "tRNA". From Rfam's summary of the family: Transfer RNA (tRNA) molecules are approximately 80 nucleotides in length. Their secondary structure includes four short double-helical elements and three loops (D, anti-codon, and T loops). Further hydrogen bonds mediate the characteristic L-shaped molecular structure. tRNAs have two regions of fundamental functional importance: the anti-codon, which is responsible for specific mRNA codon recognition, and the 3' end, to which the tRNAs corresponding amino acid is attached (by aminoacyl-tRNA synthetases). tRNAs cope with the degeneracy of the genetic code in two manners: having more than one tRNA (with a specific anti-codon) for a particular amino acid; and 'wobble' base-pairing, i.e. permitting non-standard base-pairing at the 3rd anti-codon position. Lineage: Bacteria; Pseudomonadati; Pseudomonadota; Alphaproteobacteria; Acetobacterales; Acetobacteraceae. The record is from RNAcentral.